RNAcentral lists this ribosomal RNA (491 nucleotides) under uncultured bacterium. RNAcentral's name for it is "partial 16S ribosomal RNA". It matches the Rfam family "Bacterial small subunit ribosomal RNA", at positions 29 to 506 of the family's 1533-position model. The record is from RNAcentral.
AGUGAACGCUGGCGGUAGGCCUAACACAUGCAAGUCGAACGGCAGCACAGUAAGAGCUUGCUCUUACGGGUGGCGAGUGGCGGACGGGUGAGGAAUACAUCGGAAUCUACUUUUUCGUGGGGGAUAACGUAGGGAAACUUACGCUAAUACCGCAUACGACCUACGGGUGAAAGCAGGGGAUCUUCGGACCUUGCGCGAUUGAAUGAGCCGAUGUCGGAUUAGCUAGUUGGCGGGGUAAAGGCCCACCAAGGCGACGAUCCGUAGCUGGUCUGAGAGGAUGAUCAGCCACACUGGACCUGAGACACGGUCCAGACUCCUACGGGAGGCAGCGGUGGGGAAUAUUGGACAAUGGGCGCAAGCCUGAUCCAGCCAUACCGCGUGGGUGAAGAAGGCCUUCGGGUUGUAAAGCCCUUUUGUUGGGAAAGAAAAGCAGCAGGUUAAUACCCCGCUGUUCUGACGGUACCCAAAGAAUAAGCACCGGCUAACUUCGU